RNAcentral lists this ribosomal RNA (645 nucleotides) under Triticum aestivum (bread wheat). Its description in RNAcentral is "partial small subunit ribosomal RNA". The record is from RNAcentral. Lineage: Eukaryota; Viridiplantae; Streptophyta; Magnoliopsida; Poales; Poaceae.
CUAGGGCUAGCGGCGGUGGAGAGGGCCCGGAAACGCCAGGCAUCUAGGAUAACAUGGCUGCAAGCAGGCGAUGCCCAAACAGCCUUCUUCCAGGCCUAGAUCAAUGGCAGGCACCGAAAAAACUUCAUCCACUCAUUGCAAGGACCGGCUGGAGUUGCCACAACUCAUGAUGAAAAGGAGGAACUAGUCCACAGCCAUUUCGAUAGAUCUUUAGGGACUAGACAGGGCCGAGCCAGCACAAUUGAUUGGAGCUACAUCGACAUGCCAAGGGUGCAAGGCGGCGGCCUAGACAACCCUUUCACCGAGCACGAAGUGUGGCAAGCAAUCAAACAAUGGCCGGCGGAGAAAUCACCUGGCCCGGACGGGUUCUCCGGCGUUUUCUUCAGAAUUUGCUGGCAAACCAUAAAGAGGGAUAUCAUGGAGGUUUUUCAUCAGUUCUACCACCUCGCCGGAGGAAAUUUCCAGAUGCUCAACACAACUGCUGUAGUGCUCCUUCCAAAGAAAGACGGCGCCGCUACAAUCACCGGCUACAGGCCCAUUAGUUUGAUACACUCCAUAGCAAAACUGAUCUCGAAAGUUCUCUCCCUCCGCUUAGCAACGGUGAUUCAGAACUUGAUCUCCCUGGCGCAGACGGCUUUCCUCUGA